Molecule: long non-coding RNA, 240 nt
Organism: Ixodes scapularis (black-legged tick)
Lineage: Eukaryota; Metazoa; Arthropoda; Arachnida; Ixodida; Ixodidae
Exons: 3
Source: RefSeq, a predicted model, not a curated record
CAGUCAACGGCGUGGUAAAGCCAAUAGUUUACGGCUUGCUGCCCAACAAAUCUGAAGCUACCUACAAAAGGUUUUUCGACGUCGUUCUGAGUCACAUGGGGGGCCAACUGCCUUGAGGUGGCUUACACGGACUUCAAGAUAGCGGCCAUCAACGAUACAGGGAUGUUUUUUUCAGUUCAGACAAUUCAGAUGACGAGUUUGCUGUUCUGCAUUGGCCUUCUUGCCAAUCACCGACAUUCC